AUGAGAGGGAGAUAUGUGAGGAAGAAGAGGCGGCGCCGCAGCGCCUCACCUCGCAGCGCCUCUUCUUCUUCUACCUCGAGUUGCUUCGCACAACUUUCUCUCUCUUCAAUCUGUAUCAUCUCUCUUGUACUUCCUCUCAAGAACAUAGACAUAUAUGCAAAACUUAAAACAAAUAUGCAGAUACGAAACAUCAAGAUUAGUUCUAAUACAGUCGUCCCUGGCAAGAGGUAUGUUUGCCUACUGCACGGGCUGCGUCGUAAAUUCAUAAUCUUCUCCGGCCCUCGCUGGUGGAAGGAAGGAACUCGGCUCUUGCUCUCGGCCCUCGCUCUUGCCGCAGGCCACUCCGGCCCUGGCGACCACCGCCCCAACCCGCCGUUGACCACUCCGGUCGCGGCGGCCACGCUCUACCCGUGCCAUGGCCACGCCCUCCCCAUCCGGCGGCCGUCCCCGCGCUCUGCGGUGGCUGGAAUCCAGCCCCUCUUCCGCGGGCGCCAGCUCCUCCCGCCGACCACCGCCCUCCCCUCGUGA
RNAcentral lists this ribosomal RNA (528 nucleotides) under Triticum aestivum (bread wheat). RNAcentral describes it as "partial small subunit ribosomal RNA". Lineage: Eukaryota; Viridiplantae; Streptophyta; Magnoliopsida; Poales; Poaceae. The record is from RNAcentral.